Molecule: ribosomal RNA, 253 nt
Filed under: uncultured bacterium
Lineage: Bacteria
Description: partial 16S ribosomal RNA
Rfam family: Bacterial small subunit ribosomal RNA
Source: RNAcentral
UACGAAGGGGGCUAGCGUUGUUCGGAAUUACUGGGCGUAAAGCGCGCGCAGGCGGCUAUCCAAGUCAGUGGUGAAAGCCCGGAGCUCAACUCCGGAACUGCCAUUGAAACUGUUUAGCUUGAGGAUGAGAGAGGUGAGUGGAAUUCCCAGUGUAGAGGUGAAAUUCGUAGAUAUUGGGAAGAACACCAGUGGCGAAGGCGGCUCACUGGCUCGUAACUGACGCUCAGGCGCGACAGCGUGGGGAUCAAACAGG